AUGUUGAAAAGAGUAUGGAUAACUCACUGGAUUUUGGAAACCGAAUUCUAAAAGGCCUGGCUGUGUUUCUCACUUUAUAACUUUUUCAUAUGACAUUGUAUUAAUCUGGAAUUUGAUUCAAUAAAAAGCUAAAAGAGUCUUGUUUGAGGUCGUGAAUUUUGAAAGGCAUUGGGUGAAAACUUGAUGCAGCUCCUCCAGCCCGUGUCUUCCUCUCUCCCAGCGGCGCUCAGUCUUGGGCUUCCUCUCCGACGCGACGCGGCGGCGAUCGGCGCAGCUCGUGGCUCCAUGGGUGACCGCAGUGAGGCACGAGCUCCUUCUCUCCUCCGACGAGAACUCUCUCUCUCUCUCCUCCCUCUGUCCUUCGCGCGGUUCUGGAGGCAGCGUCACGGGUCGGCGGCGACGUGGUUAGAUCGUGACAGCAAGGCGCGGUGGUAGCGGUUCCAGGCCGGCAGUAGCGCGCGAUGGAGGAGGCGGCGGUGAGGCAGCAGACUCGACCGGUUGGAUGACGGCGCGGUGAAGCUCCCUCUCUUUCCCCCAGCUCGACGGCGACGGCGGCGAGGCCCCCCAGCCAGCGCCGUCCCUUCCUCUCUGAUUCCCAUCUUCCCCUAUUUCCAUUUUCCCCCUUUUUCUUGCUGUGAGGUUUCCGUGGGUGAGGGAUGGGGUCUCUAGGGUUAGGAUUUCCAAUUUGGGAAAUUAGGGUUUCUGAUU
Molecule: long non-coding RNA, 708 nt
Filed under: Arachis ipaensis
Lineage: Eukaryota; Viridiplantae; Streptophyta; Magnoliopsida; Fabales; Fabaceae
Description: long non-coding RNA (AIPA_LNC000694)
Source: RNAcentral